Molecule: small RNA, 564 nt
Filed under: Vigna angularis var. angularis
Lineage: Eukaryota; Viridiplantae; Streptophyta; Magnoliopsida; Fabales; Fabaceae
Description: Non-protein coding transcript
Source: RNAcentral
GGUUGAGAGACUUUCUUUGCAUGGUCAUCCUUCGCACCGGUUUUUCCCGCGCAUAAUGAGGUGGUUCCCGUUUAAAUCAAGGACGAAAAAAAUUGAACAUAUUUUUAUGACCGGAGAUUUAAAUAUGGAGUGGUAUGUACGAAAUGAAGAUCGUCAUAGGCCGGAAAUCCAUGCAGCUUUCAACAUGGAUGACGGAGGAAUGAGUGAAGGAUCCUUGGGUGAAGGAUCCAAGGUUGACAAAGAUGAUGAUGAUGACGAAAGUUCUGAUGACGGGGCAUGGGAAGCAGGUGCGGAGGAGAGAUUGAGGAAAAACAACGAAGAUAUCAGAGCAUUGAAUGCCAAGAUUGGAGUUCUGACUAGGGAGUUAUUUGAAAUUUAUCAAACUCCAAUCUUUCAUGAAGCAGAUGCAUGUGGCACUGAUGAAGAGGUUGGGGGUGGAGUUGAUGAAGGACAUGGAGUUGGAGGUGAGGAGAAUGCUGACGUUGGGGGAGAAGAAGAAGGUGAUGGAAAUGAAGUUGAUGACCCCCUAGGUGCACAUGCUGAAGUAAGAGGGGAUGAUAAUAC